RNAcentral lists this non-coding RNA (30 nucleotides) under Mus musculus (house mouse). The record is from RNAcentral. Lineage: Eukaryota; Metazoa; Chordata; Mammalia; Rodentia; Muridae.
UCUCUUUUUUGUUUGCUGAUGCCUGUGUGU